This 1399-nucleotide long non-coding RNA is filed under the name Trifolium pratense (red clover). Its description in RNAcentral is "long non-coding RNA (TPRA_LNC003295)". The record is from RNAcentral. Lineage: Eukaryota; Viridiplantae; Streptophyta; Magnoliopsida; Fabales; Fabaceae.
ACACUAUUUCAGUUUGCCUCUUUCACUGUUAGUGUUUAAAGUGUUGAGAUUUUAGCUUCUUCGUUGAUGAUACUUUUAUUAGGAUAUGUUCUCAUUAUCUUUUGUUAUUUGUUGUAGAUCAACGUUUUUUUGGAAGGGAAUAAGAUGUACCUUUUUCAUCUGGGCUCUAGCUUCCUCUUCAUUGUGAGUUUAAUCUUAAUAUUUUGUCCAUGAAUUUGGUGAUUGCAGGCAUGACACGUGUGGUCUUUAGUAUGGAUAUUAUGGAGGAGCAGCUUACUACAUGAUGAUUUUUGUUGCAAGAAUAAGGUUGGCCUUUUUCUUCAUUCUCUUUUUUUUUUUACUUAUAUUUGAUUUUUUGUGUGUUUUCUCUCAUUGUUUUUUUGUUCAGAUGUAUUUAAUUUCAUAAUAUAACUAUGAUUAUAUUUGGAUUUUGGAGUUUUUAUGAAGUUUUGAUCUUUCUGAUAUGUGAACCUCAAAAUACAUGAAGAUUGUUCAUUUUGGACUUUUGCUACUCUCAUCACUUUUUAUGACCAUUUUAUUUAGAUUUUAUUGAUUCCUGAUUUAUUUAUUGUUGUUGUAGGCUGGUUAAAAGAAUUUGUUUGGAUCCUCCAAUUAUUGAGGAAUUUUGUUCUCAAUGUCCUUAUUUCACUCCACAAAGGUUGGUCCCUAUAGUUUUCAAUGUAGAAUGUUAUUAUGGUUUUCAUUUUAGGUUAGUUAUGUGCAUGUAGUUUAUAUGUUUUAUAAUGUCAGGUCAUUGGUUCUUAAUCGUAUUUUUCUUUUUUGACAAUCUCUCAUGCUACUAUUGAUUUGGACUCUGAUAGUUUAUCUGAUGAGCCUGAUGUGAUGAUGAUUGACAGGUUUUGCAUAAAUUGGGACUAGUUUUGCAUGCUGCCAAUUGCGCGGGCACGUCACACCCUUCGUGGGGCGCUCGAGGCAGCAGCCUUUAGCUCACUUUGUGUAGCAUUUUUUCCGAUUUUAGAUAGUAUGAUACUACCCGAAUGUAUGUUAAUUUAUAUAUAUGAAUAAGUUGAUCAUGUAUACGUAAUGGAUUUGAGCCAUGUAUGUAUAAGUAAAUAUAUAUUUACAUAUUGUAGGUGUUCGAUGAUCCCACGUCAUUAACAGAGGAGGAGCUGUAUGAAUUGCGAAACAGCUGGGCAACUUGUUUUCUUGACCUAUAUAAUCCUGAGGUAGAUUAUGAUGUUGCCGAUGAUGAGGCGUAGGAGCUAGCUAGGUUAAUUUGUGUGAUGUUACAAUGGAUUCAUAUUAAUUAUGAUGUUUUGAAUUGUAAUGACAUUUGGUAUUUUGCUUGAAUGUAGAAUUGUAUGGCAUUUUGGAUGAAUAUUGAAUUGUAUGACAUUUGGUAUUUUGGAUGAAUGUUGAAUUUUAAUGACAUUUGAUU